RNAcentral lists this long non-coding RNA (4083 nucleotides) under Mus musculus (house mouse). RNAcentral describes it as "predicted gene, 29674". The record is from RNAcentral. Lineage: Eukaryota; Metazoa; Chordata; Mammalia; Rodentia; Muridae.
UUCUGGCUGUCUCCAUUUCACAGUGACUGGAGGCCGAAGAAACACAUUAUCCAGAAUGCUUGCCAGCAGCUUUCUGGUUUAGAAUCUACCAGGCAGAGGCCAAAAGCUCUGAAAGGUCAAAGACAAGAAGAAACGGUUAUUCUCUGUCCAGGGAGUGAAUCCUUGUGGGUUUCAACAGAUUGUGACUCGUUUGUAACCAAAAACCGUGGGAAUUAUUCUCUUGCUGCUUUGGUGAUCAAAGAACAUGGAGGGAAGAUUUCCUGGAUGCCGGAACAAUACUAGGCUUCUCACCGCAGCCCAUGAAGCUAAGACAGGGUGAGCUCUGUGUUUGGCCCCCUCAGGUUCCAGCCCUUGGCUCGGUUAGUUUCUUUCUGUUUAAAAUAUCAAAUGUGCAGUUACUAUUCUCUUUUAGUAAAAAUUUUCUUUCCUUUUAAAAAUAAUAGGUUUGACUUCUCCUUUGAAAUUUUUUUAUGGGUGUAUGCUGCAUGUCUUGAUCAUGUAUUGAUGUGCACAGCGGUAUAGGAGUAUCAGGCAUGUGGGAGGUAACCAGCUGUUUUGUGCUUGGAUUUGCAGUUUUGACAACUCUUGCAGAACAGGAUUCAUGUCUCAUACUGCAAGAGUUGUCAAAACCCAUGGGUAUUGAGGACAUAAGCCCUUAGGUGAAUUUAAUGGCUGUUGUUUUGCUAAAUAAAUGUGUUUGUCAACGUUUCUUCUAACUAGAUGGUCAUUUCCAUAGACCGGAGCUGCUUUUAACCUUGAUCAGGGAAGCUUCUCAUGUAAUGAAUACUGGAAUAGUUUACUUCUUAAACUAUAAGUAAUACCACAAUAUAUACUGCAAACAAUUCAGAAAAUUUGAAAUUUGGCAACAGCACUACAUUUAGCUGUGUAUUUAAAUAAAAAUUGAUAGACCAGCUUUUGAAACAAAAAACUGGUAAACCUGAUUUUUUAAAUAAAAAUCGAUAGAUCUGUUCUUCACACUGUGAAACUCCUUUAUCUGGGCAUUACAGGAUGAGAAAUGAGAUAGCAGAUUCACGGGAUAUAUCAUCAGAAUCCUAUAUUCUAGGUUGGGGAGAUGGCUCCAGCAGUAAAGUGCUUGAUGUAUGAAUAUAAAGACCUGAUUUCAACCCCCAGAGAGCACUAAAAAAGGCCAGGCAUAUAGUGGCGUACUUUUAUAACCUUUGUUCCCAGGGACAUGGGAGGGGGUGAUCCCUGGGGCUCAACAGUUAGCCAGCUUAGCCUAAUGGGCGUUUCUCAAAGCACAAGGUGGACAGCCAUCGGGAAUGAAAUCUAACGUUGACCUCUAUCCUACAUACACACACACACACACACACACACACACAAAUGCAUACACACAUACACACACACAUUCACACACACACACACACGCACUUUGCAACAUAAUUGCAUGGAAUUAACAUUUUUAGAGCAUGUACACAGUGCUAGACUGUUCUGGAAAAUUCAAGUAUACUGUAAUUUAACUUACACCUCUCCUUGAAAAAAGUACUGUUAUAAAUAUAUGAGCACAAAGGCCUAUGGAGAGAAACGUGUAUAUCGCAUAAUUUGAAUGUGAUGAAAACACAUUGGUAUUCAGGCAUUUUGGUUUUAAUUAUGGAAGACAGGUACCAUGUCCACUCAACCAGUACAGCUGGGAUCGAGCUGAGCUGGAGUGCGUGUUAAAGGAGAAUCUUUCAGAAAGGUAUUUUGAUUCCUGACCCCCUGCACUGCCCCACCCUGUUUCCCUGAAAGAUUUAACUCCUGUUCACUUCUGUUCUUUGAAAUAAACUAAAGGUCGGCCGAAAGAGAUGCAAUCAAUAAAAAAAGUGGUUAGACCACAGCUCUUUAACUCAAUGUAAAACCUACUCAACAAGAAGAAAAUAACACUUGGGAGAAAGGGGAGAAGGCUUGUAACCGCCCGAGGAACAAGGAUUUUGCCAGGACAUCCUGUCUCCUAGUAAUGUUAGAAGCUUCACCUAUGAAGUCUCACAAAAACUGCCUGAACUUGGGCUGAGCAAAGAUCACACCAGUCACUAAUAGAAAUGCUAAUGCCAGAGGGAGAAAUCACAGGAAGUAUCAGCCCUACACAAGAACUACAGGCAGCUAAGCAAUGCUGAGAACAGGAGAGAUAGUCUUCCCCCAAGAAGAGCACACUGAUUGGUUAUCCAAUACCAAAUGGUCAGCCCCUAAAACAUUAUUUAGCUAAAGGUUAUAUUUAGGUGUGUGUGUGUGUGUGUGUAAAACAUGGAAAAAGGCAAUGAACAUGAAAGUGAGUGGAAGCGGGUUAAAUGGGAUGGUUUUAGGCAGAGGAAACGUAUGGGGGAAAUGAUGUAAUUAUAAGCUCAAAAAAUAAAAAGAAUUAAAUGGGUAAAGUGGAUUGUAUAGGUAUGUAUAAGUUUACGUGGGUUGGGAUGUGAAAGCACCAAUUUCCCUUGGACCUUCACAAACACAUUACUCUCCUCCUCUAAGGCACUGGCAUUGGCUACGUUGACAGCUAAGAUCGAUGGAGCAUGUAUUGGCUAGUCAUCGCAUUAUGCAUUUCAUGUAUGUAUUUUGUAUGACUCAUUUGCACUUAACUGUUGCUCACAUUUUACUGACUGACAGUUUGAGGCUUAGGCAAUUUAUUUACCCAUUCAAAGGGACACAAAAUGAUAUUAAACAGCAUUCCUGCCCAGUCACCCGAAACAGGGUACCUACUUGCAAGUUCUGAGUUCUCAGGAAUCUUAUAACACGAAGGGAUUGCACUCUGCUCCUUAGACAAAGGUCUAAUCGCUUCAAUGCAUUGAAAAAAUUUCAAAUGUAAGGUUCUCUCUCUUCUCCUCUCUAUAAAUACCUUUGUGAAAAUAAACUCAUACCCAGGACCUAAAUUAAACUAAAGUGGCAAAGAAAACGAGGACAGUACCCUAAAAUAACAUAUACUUUCAGCUUUGUUGAUGGUAGUUUUCUGGGAAUCUGCUGGUUCUCAAAAACUCUAGAUUUAUUUCCUCCAGAACGAAACCCUUAUUCUCUUCAUUUAGGAGACAAUGAAGUCAACCCAGAGAAUAAAAAUACUCUAUACUUUUAAGGCAGAAUUUUACAUCUGUCUUGGCUUUGGAAGCAACCUGAAGGCAUUUAUUUGUCUCCUCAUUAGUGUCUUCCUCAAGUGAUAUGAACGCUUAUUUGACAGUGUUGUGGGGUGAGGCAGAAGGCUUUUCAACUUCACAACCUUGAGAGGGAAAUAUGAAGGAAUGUCAGCAGAUGAACGUGUUGCAGAUUGCCUUGCAUUUCACUCUGACCUUCAUUACACACACUAACUGGACGGCUGCCCUGCACCCACGGCUACCAGUCUCAGUAUGGUUGGGUUUCCAUAAUUGCUAUCUCUUAAAAACCACUGUUUCCCUCUAAGGCAGUCUUCCUCCAAGCGUCUCAUUAACCUUCUCCACUUUCUAUCACAAUUUGUGGCACUUAGCACAGUCACUGGACAUUUACAAAACUAUUCAUUUUAUGGUAACCAUCUUCUUUGGCCUGGGAGUUGUGUUAUGUUAUAGAGCAGGGAAUUUGGCUUAUUCAUAAUUCCUGCAAAUUAACAAUGGGAGAGUAUAGCCAUAAAGAAGAUAGCAAAGCAGCACUUUUUAUUUUUCAGGAGCGAUAUUGGAGACUGACAUCUUUCUGUUUCAGUAUCUUGAUGGAUCAGAAGACUAAAAGUCAUCAGGGUUAAAGCAGGAGUUAAGAUUGACAUAACUUUGAGAAACUAGGAAUCUGCAGUGGUUUAGUAUACCGGUGCCCUGAAGUUCUGAACAAAUCUUUCUCAAGGGUGAAGUUACGUGGAUGAAUGGUAACAAAUCCAUACAGGGAAGCAAGUGAUUAAGGCCAGUGUUUGAGGUAAUGUAUUGGAUUGUGAAUCUCUGGGAUAUGUGCUUAUAGUGAUAUCACUUUUAAAGUUUUAUUAUUUUCCACGUUGCUCAAUAUGCUUGGCAUCUGCUUUCAUUUAUAUUCAUUCCUUCACAUUUGCAGACACAUUUGUUAAAGUUCUGAAAUUCCUCAUAUGAGUUUCUGCUUUAGUCAGAAUUUCAACUCUGUAACAACAACAAAGUCUAUAUUUCUUAAGGC